This is a non-coding RNA of Phascolarctos cinereus (koala), 852 nucleotides long. NCBI's taxonomy places the organism in Eukaryota, Metazoa, Chordata, Mammalia, Diprotodontia, Phascolarctidae. The record is from RefSeq and is a predicted model, not a curated record.
GCUCUGCUUAUUAGUUGGGUGAACCUGUGCAAGUCACUUAACCUCUCCAGGCCUCAGUUUCCCUAUCUUUAAGGGCUGGACUAAGAUGCUAAGGUCGCUUCUAGCUGUAAAUCUCUAUCACACACGCACGCAGAAACAUGCACCUCGGCCUCAGGGGAUCCCCAAAGUGGAAAGGUCGAUCUCCCCAAACCCCCCCGUCCACCAACACAGAGACAUUAAACGCGUAGGGAGGACGGGCCCAGCUCUUUUCUGUCAGUCCACAGACUUGGGGGUGGGGAGGAGGGGGGAGUGGUGCUUAUAGAACAGUCAGAGGCGGAACUGCGUCGCGUAGACCUCUGGGAGUUGUAGUCUGGCGGUCAGCCGAUACGUGAUAGAAGGAGUCUAGGAGUGGCUUCCUUUCCGCGACUCCAGCUCCCAGAAGUCUUUGAGGCUCCGUGUCCCCGAGGCCCACAGGAGAGAAUGGUUGGCGAGGAUUUUCCUUUCCGGGGGUUCGGCCUCUUUUGCGGCUCUGGCUUCCCACACUCCGGGCUGUCCAUAAACCAGAGCUAAACCUGGCUUACGAUACAAUCCAGGCCAGCUUCGGGUAUCAAGGAAGACACUUCUCGGUGGAGAUGGAUAGCUAUCCUGACCAACUAUGAAUUCAGAGUACAUUAUGGGAAAAAACAACAUGGAUGCCAAAAACUCAUCUCAUAGGUCCCUUGCAUAGGAGACCAUGGUGAUUUCCACAAUGGGGAUAAAGGAUCUGUGACUCAAAGAAAGAUGGGACAUUGAUACAAGAAAAUACAGGAGAGCCUGGAACUUCCUCCAGAGAUUAUGCUUUAGGUGGGAAUAAAUAACAUAGGCCUGAGCUAA